Small nuclear RNA from Dipodomys ordii (Ord's kangaroo rat), 104 nucleotides. The record is from Ensembl. NCBI's taxonomy places the organism in Eukaryota, Metazoa, Chordata, Mammalia, Rodentia, Heteromyidae.
GUGCUUACUUCGACAGCACAUACACUAAAACUGGAAUGAAACAGAGAAGACCAGCAUAUCCUCUGUGCAGUAUGACAUGAAAAUUCAUGGUGUUCCAAAUUUAU